This 393-nucleotide ribosomal RNA is filed under the name uncultured bacterium. RNAcentral's name for it is "bacterial SSU rRNA". It matches the Rfam family "Bacterial small subunit ribosomal RNA", at positions 54 to 437 of the family's 1533-position model. The record is from RNAcentral.
CAUGCAAGUCGCAGGGUAACGUGAGGGAAGCUUGCUUCCCUUGACGACGACUGGCGCACGGGUGAGUAACGCGUAUCCAACCUUCCCAUGACCACGGGAUAACCCGUUGAAAGACGGACUAAUACCGUAUGACGUCGUUUGCUGACAUCAAAUAACGAUUAAAGGUUUAGCGGUGAUGGAUGGGGAUGCGUCUGAUUAGCUUGUUGGCGGGGUAACGGCCCACCAAGGCGACGAUCAGUAGGGGUUCUGAGAGGAAGGUCCCCCACAUUGGAACUGAGACACGGUCCAAACUCCUACGGGAGGCAGCAGUGAGGAAUAUUGGUCAAUGGGCGAGAGCCUGAACCAGCCAAGUAGCGUGCAGGAUGACGGCCCUAUGGGUUGUAAACUGCUUUU